UCGGGAAUUUUGGGCAAUGGGCGAAAGCCUGACCCAGCAACGCCGCGUGAAGGAUGAAGUAUUUCGGUAUGUAAACUUCGAAAGAAUAGGAAGAAUAAAUGACGGUACUAUUUAUAAGGUCCGGCUAACUACGUGCCAGCAGCCGCGGUAAGACGAAGGAUGCAAGCGUUAUCCGGAUUCAUUGGGUUUAAAGGGUGCGUAGGCGGACUGAUAAGUCAGUGGUGAAAUCUCUCGGCUUAACCGAGAAACUGCCAUUGAUACUGUUAGUCUAGAGUACAGAUGAUGUGGGCGGAAUAUGACAUGUAGUGGUGAAAUACUUAGAUAUGUCAUAGAACACCGAUUGCGAAGGCAGCUCACAAAACUGUAACUGACGCUGAGGCACGAAAGUGCGGGGAUCAAACAGGAUUAGAUACCCAUGUAGUCCCUGAGCGGGCUGGCAAGGCGCAU
Molecule: ribosomal RNA, 447 nt
Filed under: uncultured bacterium
Lineage: Bacteria
Description: bacterial SSU rRNA
Rfam family: Bacterial small subunit ribosomal RNA
Source: RNAcentral